UUAUUACUCACUCAGUCUGAAAUUACUUGUCACGUAGAUUGAUAUAAUUGGAUGUAUCUAGAAUUAAACUACAUCUAGAUACAUCCAUUUCUAUGAUAAAUAUUUCCGAGCGGAGGGAGUAUCAU
Hordeum vulgare subsp. vulgare (domesticated barley) is the source of this 125-nucleotide non-coding RNA. The record is from Rfam. Lineage: Eukaryota; Viridiplantae; Streptophyta; Magnoliopsida; Poales; Poaceae.